Molecule: ribosomal RNA, 402 nt
Filed under: uncultured bacterium
Lineage: Bacteria
Description: bacterial SSU rRNA
Rfam family: Bacterial small subunit ribosomal RNA
Source: RNAcentral
UGAGGAAUAUUGGACAAUGGGUGAAACCCUGAUGCAGCGACGCCGCGUGGAGGAAGAAGGUCUUCGGAUUGUAAACUCCUGUCUUCGGGGACGAUAAUGACGGUACCCGAAGAGGAAGCACCGGCUAACUACGUGCCAGCAGCCGCGGUAAUACGUAGGGGGCAAGCGUUGUCCGGAAUUACUGGGCGUAAAGCGCACGCAGGCGGCGUGGCGAGUCAGAAGUGAAAUCCCCGGGCUCAACCUGGGAACUGCUUUUGAAACGGUCAUGCUUGAAUCAUGGAGAGGGUAGCGGAAUUCCGAGUGUAGAGGUGAAAUUCGUAGAUAUUCGGAAGAACACCGGUGGCGAAGGCGGCUACCUGGCCAUGUAUUGACGCUGAGGUGCGAAAGCGUGGGGAGCAAACA